This 390-nucleotide ribosomal RNA is filed under the name uncultured bacterium. Its description in RNAcentral is "bacterial SSU rRNA". It matches the Rfam family "Bacterial small subunit ribosomal RNA", at positions 28 to 418 of the family's 1533-position model. The record is from RNAcentral.
GAUGAACGCUAGCGGCAGGCCUAAUACAUGCAAGUCGAACGGAUAUAUGUUUUUCGGAAUAUAUAUUAGUGGCGCACGGGUGAGUAACACGUACAUAACUUGCCCUCAAGCGGGGGAUAGCCUUGGGAAACUGAGAGUAAUACCCCAUAGAUUAUUGGACGGCAUCGUUUGAUAAUUAAAACUACGGUGUUUGGGGAUAGAUGUGCGUCUGAUUAGCUAGUUGGUGAGGUAACUGCUCACCAAGGCGACGAUCAGUAGGGGGCGUGAGAGCGUGGCCCCCCACACGGGUACUGAGACACGGACCCGACUCCUACGGGAGGCAGCAGUAAGGAAUAUUGGACAAUGGGGGCAACCCUGAUCCAGCCAUGCCGCGUGUGUGAAGAAGGCCUU